RNAcentral lists this non-coding RNA (29 nucleotides) under Mus musculus (house mouse). Lineage: Eukaryota; Metazoa; Chordata; Mammalia; Rodentia; Muridae. The record is from RNAcentral.
UGAUAAGCAUUUCUGUACUUGGAGCUUCU